AAGUGUUGGAAUUACAGGCGUGAACCACCAUGCCUGGCCAGCUCUAUUUCUUUAAGCCUACAUGUUUUGCACUUGUUAAAAGUAUUUGAAUAUACAAUUACUCAGUUUCCCUUGUUUAUGCUUGAAUUUUGUAUAAUCUUAAAUAUUUUUUCCAAUCUAAGCUUUAUUUUAUCCCGUUUCUUCUAUAUUUGUAUAACUUUAGGUGGCUAUCUUCAUUGAAAAUUUUUUCUCAAAAGCCUUAAAAUAGAACAUAGUUCUUGGCAGCAAUUUAAAGUUAUUUGAGGAGAAGGGGAGACUUACAAUGAUGCUUCAAUUGAAGCAAACUAAAAAGUAAUGAAGCAAGACAGAGGAAAAAGCAGUAUUCACUUGAGCACAUCCCAAAAGAAUAACAUUUCAAAUGUAACUAGAAAAAAGAUUGCUGAAGUUUGCAAUACAGAAAUAAUUAUUAAGAUAGCUUUAAAGCCCUGCUCAGCUUUUGAAUGUUGGGAAUUGACCCAGAGGUGGCUGUAAACUAAGAUGGUUCCUUCAGUAAUGACCAUUUUUUCUUUUUCAAGAUGAUGAUUAUUCCCCACCUUCUAGGACACAAAGACCAACGAGCCACCACAGCCACCAGUCCCAGAACCCGCUAAUGCUGGGGAACGGAAAAUGAGGGAGUUCAACUCUGGCCCUCACAAUCCAGUGGAGGAGACGAAACUCAUCUGCCUCUGUCCCUCUGGGCACGCCUCAUGCCAGGUGCAUCUGUGGACAGGGGCCAUGCUCCUGGGCUUCCAAAGUUGGAGAAAGCUGCCAGGCUCAGGUCUGAAGGCCAGAAUUCUACAGUAAGUCCUACUGAGUCAAGGUGGGAGCAGGGUCGGUGGCUUCUGAGGCUCUGCGGGAGAAUCCGUUUCCUGGUCGUGGAGGUGGCCUGCACUCCUCAGCUUGUGCUGCCAGUCUCGAAUGACUGGAGUUUCCUGCUUCUGUCACUACACCUCCCACCCUCUCCAUCACCUGCUUUGCUCUUAUAAGGAUCCGGAGAAAUGGAAUAAUUGUAUCGCUCAUCUACGUAAACAAAUUGAAGAAUUGUCUGAAAGAAAAUAUGACAUGAACUUAAUGAAUUCAACAGGUGAAGAUUUACAACUUGAUAAAUCAGCUUCCUGAGCUCGAGCUGUAAAAGCCAAAGGUCCGGUGAUGAUCCCAUACCCUUUUUUCCAGUCUCAUGUUGAAGAUUUUUAUGUAGAAGGCCUUC
RNAcentral lists this long non-coding RNA (1225 nucleotides) under Homo sapiens (human). RNAcentral describes it as "HSALNT0321731". Lineage: Eukaryota; Metazoa; Chordata; Mammalia; Primates; Hominidae. The record is from RNAcentral.